RNAcentral lists this long non-coding RNA (2421 nucleotides) under Nicotiana benthamiana. Its description in RNAcentral is "long non-coding RNA (NBEN_LNC037380)". Lineage: Eukaryota; Viridiplantae; Streptophyta; Magnoliopsida; Solanales; Solanaceae. The record is from RNAcentral.
GUCAGUAUCAGUGUCACAAUACCUUUUACACAUUAACAUGUCCAAGAGAUGCACCUGUUCCUGGCCUGGAAAGCCAUAACAGCAUCCCGGCAGAAACAGUGAGAAUAAGAAAUCAAAAUAAAAAGGUAUAGUACAUCAACAAGUACACAAGCACUUGUGUAACUAAAGGACGGGUAUAGUACACCAAGUACCCAGGCACUUGUGUAACUACAGGACAUCCGAAUAUUAAAAUUGUGUACUAUGAACCAAGUAACUCAACUAUGAUAAUAUGGCAAAGACUGCAUUUUACAUGAGAACAAAAUACAUGUUGGCGAAGGAAGAAAAACAAAAUGGCUUUAUUUCAUAAAUGAAAUAGGCGAUAACUUACACCUAGAAUCACGAGAAGAUGAUCCAUGCAGGCGAAACCAAAUAGUUGGAAUCGAGGGUUAAUUGUUGUUAUUACUCAUUACCAUGAUAUUAGGUACAGUGAUAGACUUCUAUAUUCAUGCAGGAAUAAGUGUGGAGCACAGAGGAACUCUAAUUUCACAGAACACCUAAUUCACCUUAAAAGGCAAUUAAUCAGUAUCAGAAUUAAAUGGACUGAAUAUAGCUACAUGGAUAAUCCCCUGAUAUAGAUGUUUAAUUUAAUAGCCAACCUCAACCAGUUGGGACUAAGAGCCCGUUUGACCAAGCUGACAAAAACAACUUAUUUUGAAAAUCAUUUUUUCCCAUAAGUGCUUUAUCCAAAAGUACUUUUGAAAAAAAAAAGUUCGUGUUUGGCGAAUUCAUUUAAGAAGGUACUUUUUGCAAUAUUUGGUAAACAAAUUGUGUUUGGCGGAUCUUUCUAAAAGUACUUUCAAGUGUCAAAUUACCAAAAAGGAUAGCACCAAAGUCUUAUAAUUAUUUUAAAGAGAAAAAUAAACUUUAAUAUUUAUCGUAAGACUUUUAUUAUUUUUUGUUUUAUUUAAUUAAAAAAUAAAAUAUAAAGUAAACAUACAUAUUAAAAAAUUUAAAAUCAAUAUAACAUGUACAGUUAUACCAAAUCAUAUAAUAUAAUCUAGUAUAAUUGCUUAUUAUUUACACGAUGAACAGAAUAAUCCAAAUGCAUCAUUCAUCAUGAAUUAGAAGUAUAUCCCACUAAUUACUAAUCCACCAUGAAAUAGUAAGCAAAGUCGCUCACACAUGAUUACAUUUCUCAAUAAUUUCAUCUCUACUUCUAUCACACAACGCCACCAUAUUAGUAGAAAACUUUCCUUGCAUAUCUAAAGGAAUACCAGAAGGUCCAUCUCCUUCCUCAAUCUCUGCUGUAGUGUCUUUAUUAGCAUAAUAGUUGAAUUCCUUAUCGGUAGAAGAAUAUUAUCGGGUGAAAUUUUAUAUAGUUAUGGUAGCUGUAACAAGAUAAUUCUGAGUGUCAAACUUGAAAGACAGUACUGAGAAUAAAAUAGAAAAAAUUUUAAAUAUAUAAAAAAUCAUUGUCUUUGUAAAAAAUUAAUUAAGUAUCUUUAAAUUCAUAUUCAAAAAGAGUAACUAAUUAUUAACAAUAAAUAAUGCAUAAUUUAAUUUUUUUAUAAUUUAAAUUCAAAGAAAAUAAUUAUUAUGUAACCUAACUAACUUUGUCCUAAAUUGCCGAGUGGCUUAUUGUGAUGUGGAGGCUUUUUCUUCCUUUUUUAAUAAUAUAUAAAUUAUGCGAUGCAAUUAUAAAUUUAUUACAUAUUUGUAGGUAAUUUUCACAAAUUAGAUUUGAUAACUAUUUUAAAAAUUCGGGAAUUAAUAGCCUAUAAAAAAAGAAAUUACAAAUAGAAUAUAAUUGAUAAUCCAAAAAAGGAUGUAGAUAAUAAGAAGAAGAAGAUUUGGAAAGUUAUAAGACAUUAUACAAAGAAAAAAGAAAAAACAAGAAAAGUCAAUAAAGAAUUUGGAAAGCUACAAUAUGAUUCAUGUAUAAAUCUAAAAGAAUGGUAAAAACUCAAAACAAAAAUAAAAAAAUCCUUAAAUCAAUAAGGGAUAAUUGGAAAAUAUAAAUUUAUAACGAGGAUAGAUUUGUCUUGAAUAAAUUUUUCUGCUUCUGCUUCUUGGGAGAAGCUAAAAAUUUUUGCUUCUACCCAAAAGCAUAAAAACUGCUUUUGCUGCUGUACUUUUCUAUUUUGGCCAAAUAACUUAAAAAAUUUUGAAAGUACUUUGUUGGGGAAAAAAGUACUUUUUUGCCCUCCAAAAGCUUGGUCAAACAGGCUCUAAGGCAUAGGUGGCUUCAUACUGGGUUAAUAAAUAUAACUAUAGUUGGUUUACCGUUCACAAAUAUUCUACCUAAAUUUUAACUAAGUCUAACUCGAUAUUCUUUUUAUAGAGUCAAUUAAUGGUUAGAAAAUACAACUAGUCCUACAAGUGUUAAUAACCCAUCCAGAGUCCAGGAUAUUCUCAAAUGACAUAUCAUACCAAUUAUUCUGA